RNAcentral lists this ribosomal RNA (236 nucleotides) under uncultured Staphylococcus sp. RNAcentral's name for it is "partial 16S ribosomal RNA". It matches the Rfam family "Bacterial small subunit ribosomal RNA", at positions 104 to 334 of the family's 1533-position model. Lineage: Bacteria; Bacillati; Bacillota; Bacilli; Caryophanales; Staphylococcaceae. The record is from RNAcentral.
GGGUGAGUAGCACGUGGAUAACCUACCUAUAAGACUGGGAUAACUUCGGGAAACCGGAGCUAAUACCGGAUAAUAUUUUGAACCGCAUGGUUCAAAAGUGAAAGACGGUCUUGCUGUCACUUAUAGAUGGAUCCGCGCUGCAUUAGCUAGUUGGUAAGGUAACGGCUUACCAAGGCAACGAUGCAUAGCCGACCUGAGAGGGUGAUCGGCCACACUGGAACUGAGACACGGUCCAG